Molecule: long non-coding RNA, 165 nt
Filed under: Fukomys damarensis (Damara mole-rat)
Lineage: Eukaryota; Metazoa; Chordata; Mammalia; Rodentia; Bathyergidae
Description: lncRNA (ENSFDAG00000027529.1)
Source: RNAcentral
CUCAAUUUCUGCAGAUGGACUUCCUGCAUGUACCCGAAUCCCACUACCCCACCCCCCACCCCUUUCCCACAGCUUGCUGAAGCAGAUACCACCUUAGAUCAUCAAGAUGAGGCCACACCACACAGGUAACAGCAUGGUCAACUGUUUUCUAAGGAUUUCCAGGAU